RNAcentral lists this long non-coding RNA (1677 nucleotides) under Felis catus (domestic cat). Its description in RNAcentral is "lncRNA (ENSFCAG00000050762.1)". The record is from RNAcentral. Lineage: Eukaryota; Metazoa; Chordata; Mammalia; Carnivora; Felidae.
ACCCUUGGGAGAGUUGCUAUAGAAUGAAUGUUUGUGUCCCCUCAAAUUCAUAUGCUGAAGCCUAAUUCCCCACAUGAUGUAUCUAACCUACUAGGAGAGAUUUAACAAAGGAUCCCAGAAUUACCUAUGGCUAGAAGUGGUCCCUGAAAACUUGCCCCAGAGCCUUUAAGCUCCCUGGAGGUAUCCACUGGGAGACCCACCUCUGUGAGAUAAUAAAGCCAUUAGAGACAAGCAGGUGAUGGCCAGACCCCAGGAUCCCUGCAGAUAUGACCAGGGCUCAGCCUCUGCCUUACUCCAAACUCGAGUAAGAGUUUUCACCCUUACUCUAAACUUUCUGGGAGGAAUUAAUACUUGAGAGAAACAUCAAUAGACUGGAUCUAAUGAGGUUUGGGGACCUGCACUCUCUGCUCACUGGCUGGGUCCAUCCUGCUGCUGACCAAACAGUCCUGUGGCAAAAAUAUCAGAGGGACUUCAAACGUGCAUGUCAGCUGUUUCUCACUGUUGAUGCAGGAAAUGAAGGAUGCAUCUCACACAGACAGUGUAUAUUCACCAAGCACCUAUACUUGCUUGGACUGUGCUAGCCAACCAACACCACUACACUUUCCAUCAUUAUCUGCACCACCAUCAUCAUCGUCACCAUCAGCAUCAUCGUCAUACUCCAUUGUUCAUGAGGGUUCUACCUGCAUUGAAGUUCACAGAUCAUUGCCAUGGAGGAUUCAGAAAUCCCACAGCAAGCUCUUGAUUUCUUAGAGGACGAUAGCUGCGAGAGGAAGAAGCCCCUCCUGCCAAGAGUUAACUCCCAUGUGUGACUGGCCUCAGGCACCGUAGUGACUUGGUGAACUUCCUGGGGUCUACUGGAAGAGAAGCAGGUGCACCCUCAGGCUGUGCCACUCGGGGAUGAGCAGUUUGGCUUCAUGAGAGGCCCUUCAGGGGGCCUGGCACACUGUGGGGCAGUGAGAGUGACACAUUCCACACUGCCAGCUUUUAGCCUAAUAUUGAGAUGCUAGAGUCAAACACCAUCGUGAGAGAAGUCAGUGACUGAGAGGACUGAAGAGAGAAGAAUGUUCACUGAGCUUCAUGGAAGAGUGGAUGUAUGCAUUCCAGGUUCCCAGCAUAUCUUCCUAAGUGGGUUAAUUCUGUGAACUACUGUCAGCUCCCCUCCCUCACAGGCCAGCGUGAACCAAAGGGGCAGGUGGUAAAUCCUGGAUUUACAGUUUAUGGCAUGUUGUUGAGCAGCACCCAAUGUCUCUGGUCUCCAGUUUCUUCUAUAAAAUGCUUGAGUAAAGUAGAUUCUCUCUCAGCCCCGUGUCAUUCCACAGGCCAGUAACUCAACAGGGAUUAUAACUAAGGGUAGAAACAAGUAAGAUAAAGCUAAUCUUGCACUUAGGUUGAGAGAUCAACAAUAGAUUUGUUCCCGUUUUAAAAUAUUUUGUCACCUCAUUUGGAAAUAGCAGGCACUCCAGAUUCAGGCAUUCUGGCUAAGGUCCCAGCUAUGUGACUUAAGCUCUCUGGAGCUCUCUAAGCCUCAGUUUCUGCUUCUAUAGAAAAAGGGGUUCAUGGUUAUUGUGAAAACUCAUAAAUACUAAAUUUCAGAGACCAGCAUAGAACAAGCAUAGAUCCUCAACAGACGAUGAUGAUGAUAACUCAGAGCAUAGAAUGUGCUGCAUUAUUAAAAGG